This 57-nucleotide microRNA precursor is filed under the name Bos taurus (domestic cattle). RNAcentral describes it as "Bta-Mir-873-v2_pre stem-loop". The record is from RNAcentral. Lineage: Eukaryota; Metazoa; Chordata; Mammalia; Artiodactyla; Bovidae.
GCAGGAACUUGUGAGUCUCCUAUUGAACAUGAACAGGAGGCUGAUGAGUUCCCGGGA